CCUACGGGUGGCAGCAGUGAGGAAUAUUGGUCAAUGGGCGGAAGCCUGAACCAGCCAAGUAGCGUGCAGGAUGACGGCCCUACGGGUUGUAAACUGCUUUUAUACGGGAAUAACGCGCCUUACGUGUAGGGCUUUGCAUGUACCGUAUGAAUAAGGACCGGCUACUUCCGUGCCAGCAGCCGCGGUAAUACGGAAGGUCCGGGCGUUAUCCGGAUUUAUUGGGUUUAAAGGGGGCGUAGGCCGCAGGUCCGCGGUGCUGUGAAAUGUCCGGGCUCAACCCGGGCCUUGCAGCGCGAACUGGCGGGCUUGAGUCCGCGGAAGGCAGGCGGAAUUCGUCGUGUAGCGGUGAAAUGCUUAGAUAUGACGAAGAACCCCGAUUGCGAAGGCAGCUUGCUGCAGCGGAACUGACGCUGAUGCUCGAAGGCGCGGGUAUCGAACAGGAUUAGAUACCCCAGUAGUC
This 460-nucleotide ribosomal RNA is filed under the name uncultured bacterium. RNAcentral's name for it is "partial 16S ribosomal RNA". It matches the Rfam family "Bacterial small subunit ribosomal RNA", at positions 338 to 795 of the family's 1533-position model. The record is from RNAcentral.